Molecule: ribosomal RNA, 497 nt
Filed under: uncultured bacterium
Lineage: Bacteria
Description: partial 16S ribosomal RNA
Rfam family: Bacterial small subunit ribosomal RNA
Source: RNAcentral
UGGGGAAUAUUGCACAAUGGGCGCAAGCCUGAUGCAGCCAUGCCGCGUGUGUGAAGAAGGCCUUCGGGUUGUAAAGCACUUUCAGCGAGGAGGAAGGUGGUGAACUUAAUACGUUCAUCAAUUGACGUUACUCGCAGAAGAAGCACCGGCUAACUCCGUGCCAGCAGCCGCGGUAAUACGGAGGGUGCAAGCGUUAAUCGGAAUUACUGGGCGUAAAGCGCACGCAGGCGGUUUGUUAAGUCAGAUGUGAAAUCCCCGGGCUCAACCUGGGAACUGCAUUUGAAACUGGCAAGCUAGAGUCUCGUAGAGGGGGGUAGAAUUCCAGGUGUAGCGGUGAAAUGCGUAGAGAUCUGGAGGAAUACCGGUGGCGAAGGCGGCCCCCCUGGACGAAGACUGACGCUCAGGUGCGAAAGCGUGGGGAGCAAACAGAUUAGAUACCCUGGUAGUCCACGCUGUAAACGAUGUCGAUUUUGGAGGUUGUGCCCCUUGAGGCGUGG